GAUGAAGGUUUUCGGAUCGUAAAACUCUGUCUUUAGGGACGAUAAUGACGGUACCUAAGGAGGAAGCCACGGCUAACUACGUGCCAGCAGCCGCGGUAAUACGUAGGUGGCAAGCGUUGUCCGGAUUUACUGGGCGUAAAGAGUAUGUAGGUGGGUGCUUAAGUCAGAUGUGAAAUUCCCGGGCUCAACCUGGGAGCUGCAUUUGAAACUGGGCAUCUAGAGUGCAGGAGAGGAAAGUGGAAUUCCUAGUGUAGCGGUGAAAUGCGUAGAGAUUAGGAAGAACACCAGUGGCGAAGGCGACUUUCUGGACUGUAACUGACACUGAGAUACGAAAGCGUGGGUAGCAAACAGGAUUAGAUACCCUGGUAGUCCACGCCGUAAACGAUGAAUACUAGGUGUCGGGGGGUACCACCCUCGGUGCCGCAGCAAACGCAUUAAGUAUUCCGCCUGGGGAGUACGGUCGCAAGAUUAAAACUCAAAGGAAUUGACGGGGACCCGCACAAGCAGCGGAGCAUGUGGUUUAAUUCGAAGCAACGCGAAGAACCUUACCUAGACUUGACAUCUCCUGAAUUACUCUUAAUCGAGGAAGUCCCUUCGGGGACAGGAAGACAGGUGGUGCAUGGUUGUCGUCAGCUCGUGUCGUGAGAUGUUGGGUUAAGUCCCGCAACGAGCGCAACCCUUAUUGUUAGUUGCUACUAUUAAGUUAAGCACUCUAACGAGACUGCCGCGGUUAACGUGGAGGAAGGUGGGGAUGACGUCAAAUCAUCAUGCCCCUUAUGUCUAGGGCUACACACGUGCUACAAUGGCUGGUACAACGAGCAGCAAACCCGCGAGGGGGAGCAAAACUUGAAAGCCAGUCCCAGUUCGGAUUGUAGGCUGAAACUCGCCUACAUGAAGUUGGAGUUGCUAGUAAUCGCGAAUCAGCAUGUCGCGGUGAAUACGUUCCCGGGUCUUGUACACACCGCCCGUCACACCAUGAGAGCCGGUAACACCCGAAGCCCGUGAGGUAACCGUAAGGAGCCAGCGGUCGAAGGUGGGAUUGGUGAUUGGGGUGAAGUCGUAACAAGGUAGCCGUAGGAGAACCUGCGGCUGGAUCACCUCCUUUCUA
This 1108-nucleotide ribosomal RNA is filed under the name Clostridium botulinum D/C. RNAcentral describes it as "bacterial SSU rRNA". It matches the Rfam family "Bacterial small subunit ribosomal RNA", at positions 407 to 1533 of the family's 1533-position model. The record is from RNAcentral. Lineage: Bacteria; Bacillati; Bacillota; Clostridia; Eubacteriales; Clostridiaceae.